AUUGAACGCUGGCGGCAUGCCUUACACAUGCAAGUCGAACGGUAACAGGUCUUCGGACGCUGACGAGUGGCGAACGGGUGAGUAAUACAUCGGAACGUGCCUAGUAGUGGGGGAUAACUACUCGAAGAGUGGCUAAUACCGCAUGAGAUCUACGGAUGAAAGCAGGGGAUCGCAAGACCUUGUGCUACUAGAGCGGCCGAUGGCAGAUUAGGUAGUUGGUGGGAUAAAAGCUUACCAAGCCGACGAUCUGUAGCUGGUCUGAGAGGACGAUCAGCCACACUGGGACUGAGACACGGCCCAGACUCCUACGUGAGGCAGCAGUGGCGAAUUUUGGACAAUGGGCGCAAGCCUGAUCCAGCAAUGCCGCGUGCAGGAUGAAGGCCUUCGGGUUGUAAACUGCUUUUGUACGGAACGAAAAGCCCCGGGUUAAUACCCUGGGGUCAUGACGGUACCGUAAGAAUAAGCACCGGCUAACUACGUGCCAGCCGCCGCCGUAA
RNAcentral lists this ribosomal RNA (497 nucleotides) under uncultured bacterium. RNAcentral describes it as "partial 16S ribosomal RNA". It matches the Rfam family "Bacterial small subunit ribosomal RNA", at positions 30 to 523 of the family's 1533-position model. The record is from RNAcentral.